Molecule: ribosomal RNA, 492 nt
Filed under: uncultured bacterium
Lineage: Bacteria
Description: partial 16S ribosomal RNA
Rfam family: Bacterial small subunit ribosomal RNA
Source: RNAcentral
AGUGAACGCUGGCGGUAGGCCUAACACAUGCCAGUCGAACGGCAGCACAGUAAGAGCUUGCUCUUACGGGUGGCGAGUGGCGGACGGGUGAGGAAUACAUCGGAAUCUACUUUUUCGUGGGGGAUAACGUAGGUAAACUUACGCUAAUACCGCAUACGACCUACGGGUGAAAGCAGGGGAUCUUCGGACCUUGCGCGAUUGAAUGAGCCGAUGUCGGAUUAGCUAGUUGGCGGGGUAAAGGCCCACCAAGGCGACGAUCCGUAGCUGGUCUGAGAGGAUGAUCGGCCACACUGGAACUGAGACACGGUCCAGACUCCUACGGGAGGCAGCAGUGGGGAAUAUUGGACAAUGGGCGCAAGCCUGAUCCAGCCAUACCGCGUGGGUGAAGAAGGCCUUCGGGUUGUAAAGCCCUUUUGUUGGGAAAGAAAAGCAGCAGGUUAAUACCCCGCUGUUCUGACGGUACCCAAAGAAUAAGCACCGGCUAACUUCGUG